RNAcentral lists this unclassified non-coding RNA (2484 nucleotides) under Nilaparvata lugens (brown planthopper). Its description in RNAcentral is "uncharacterized LOC111060628, transcript variant X2". Lineage: Eukaryota; Metazoa; Arthropoda; Insecta; Hemiptera; Delphacidae. The record is from RNAcentral.
AGUCUAUUAAAACCAAAAUACAAUUCAGAUUUUUCUCAAUAUAGGUUAAAGCUAUAUCAAAAUUGAAAGUGUAAAAUUGUCAACCAUUUGCUUAUAGAAAUAAAAUUAAAUUUCAAUAGAUUAUCUUCAUUUUAAUUUUGGAUAGAAAUUCAAAAUCUGUAGUAAAGAUGGCGGAGAAUAUUUGUACAGUAUUUGAUAGGGGGUGCUUCCACUGUGCAAAAUCGCAAAAACCUGGAAAUGAAAAUAGAAAAACUCGUGUCUCAAAAAUGGUCUAUCACUACCCACAGAUCGGCAGUCUUCUUAUUCAGGAAACUACAACUCAGGUGGAGAAAAUUCCUAAGGAAUUUCCGAAGAAAGUUAUCAAAACUGAUAAACCAGUUGAGGUAUCAACAGUGGGCAAACAAACUCCCAACUUCGACCUUGAGCAUGAACAGCCGGUGAAGUUGAAGCACUGUUGGUCUGGAAUCACAUUCAUCGAAGAAAAGUAUGCAAGGGAAAGAGAGAAUGCAUAUAAUGCGAAUCUCAAAAUUGUUCUGGCCAAUAGGAGACGCUGGACUAGAAUGCAACGAUCUAUUGAAAGACAAAUUCGAAGCAGACAGAUGAAAAUUUGUGGACCCGAAUGGUAUCAAGAUUUGUCAUAUAAGCAGCUAUCACUCCUUGAAGCGUUCCCUGAUGUACUUAAAAGGGACACCGAAGAAAAAUCAGUUUCUAAUACAAGGAAAUUUCUAAAAGACUUGGGUAUUAUGCCAUUGCCGGAUAACGAAUUCCUUCAAGAACUACUGGAAAAAUGCAAACGGGACCCUCUGUACUAUUUUGAUCAGAUAAGAAAAGAUAUACGUUACCGAGAGAAUCAACGACUUCAAGCCUUACGAGGGGAAAAAGAGCCUAUUAGUGAUGUUGAAAUAGCCAAGAGGAAAUAUUCGGUGAGCGAGAGAAUAUUGCUAUCGGCAAUGUUCACCAUCCACUUACCGCUCUUAUUAUUCAAGCUUCACCUUAUCCUCCCACAAGUCACCACAAAAUCAAAAACUGAGGUCAACAUUUUGUCACCUUUACCAAGUGAAAUGGUGUCAUCUCUACCCGAGCCUAAAAAGAAAUGGUUCAAAUCUCGAAAACCAGAUGCCAUUAGCUUUGACGCUAUUGAUGAGUCAUUUGGAAUAGCAGAACCGAAAACUGUAAAAGAUGAUCAACUAUCCAACGAUCAGGAAUCUUUAUGUGACUCUACAGAUGACUUCAAAUGCAAACAGAAAACUCCUUCAUCGUUAUCUGAUCUGGAAAUGACUGCCAAGUUAGUUGAUGUCUCAGUUCAGACAGACAUACAUGAUACUGAGACUACCACCCAUCCUACCCAAAGCGACCUGAACGUAAAAGAUGGCAAAAUACCUGAAAAACUCGAUUUGUCCAAUCUAGAAAAGAAAAAAACAAGUGUAACAGGAUUUGUUUCGAUAAAAGAAAAUGAAGAUAUGGAUAAUAUUUCUGCAAGCAAGGGAAGCUCGUCAGUUGAAGGAAGUGAUAACAUCAAAAAUGAAAACGAACAACUAGAGGAAAUCUCUCUGAAUCCUCACACGGAUUACGAGAAAGUCAUAGCUAUAAUGAUGGCGUCGAUAGUAAGAGUUCCAACUGAUACAGAAAGCGAGAAGAGAGACAAAAUAAAAGAAUGUCUGGAAACUUACAACAUCGAAGGGCUUUAUGAGAUAUUCGGUAUUGAUACUCAACAGAAAAUUAAUGGCAAUAAGGAAGAAACUGGUGGAAAGGGCCGGGCUAAUCAUAUAGAAACGCCAAGCGUGCUGGCAACGGGGAGUGAACAGACUCCGCCAGGCUUCGAAAGCAAUGUGGAAUCGACGGCGAGUGAGACAAAGCUGGCUUCCACUGAAACGGGGCUCGAGAAACUCAUUGCUCAACUUAGAGAAGCAAUUCUGCAACAGCCGAAGAAGAAGCAGCUCAAGAAAAACUCCUGGGAAACAGUAGAAAAGCUUGGAGUGUUCUCAUGUCAAAUAGAAGUUGUCUUUCAACACAAAAGAUUCCACGCUGCAUACUGACAAGCAAGCAAUUGGCCAGCUACACGUGGGAUAGGAAGAAAUGGGCCAUGAAUAAGAUUAACACUGCCUUGAACAAUCAUAAACGAAACAUUCGUCAAGCGAUGGUGGAUGAUGCUCGAAUUCUGUACAGCACAAUGGAUGAUUUUCAUUACGAUUCAAAACUCAAUACGAACAUUCGGAAAACAUUCUUCACUUAUCUGCCUUCGGCUGAGACUGAGAUUUAUGUCUAAAUUUCUUCAAAGCCAAUAACUUGAACUUGUCAUAAUGGAUGAGAUACCUUUUUGUCAUUGUUACCAGUUUCAUAGUAUUAUGCGUAACAAUAAUAACCUCUAUUAGCCAAUCUAAGAACAAUAUUUUAGGAUAUUUUUUCAUGGAAAUAGGUUCAUUAUAUACCUCUUAGACCUAUAUUUUUGUUGAAUUUUAGUUUAAAAAUUGAUUAAAAAAUAGC